AUACGGAGGGUGCAAGCGUUACUCGGAAUCACUGGGCGUAAAGCGCGCGCAGGCGGUCUUUUAAGUUGGAUGUGAAAGCCUACGGCUCAACCGUAGAACUGCAUGCAAAACUAUUAGACUAGAGUGUGGGAGAGGAAGAUGGAAUUAGUUGUGUAGGGGUAAAAUCCGUAGAGAUAACUAGGAAUACCAAAAGCGAAGGCAAUCUUCUGGAACACUACUGACGCUGAGGCGCGAAAGCGUGGGGAGCAAACAGGAUUAGAAACCCUAGUAGUCC
Molecule: ribosomal RNA, 274 nt
Filed under: uncultured bacterium
Lineage: Bacteria
Description: partial 16S ribosomal RNA
Rfam family: Bacterial small subunit ribosomal RNA
Source: RNAcentral